Molecule: ribosomal RNA, 473 nt
Filed under: uncultured Fusibacter sp.
Lineage: Bacteria; Bacillati; Bacillota; Clostridia; Eubacteriales; Fusibacteraceae
Description: bacterial SSU rRNA
Rfam family: Bacterial small subunit ribosomal RNA
Source: RNAcentral
GACGGGGACCCGCACAAGCAGCGGAGCAUGUGGUUUAAUUCGAAGCAACGCGAAGAACCUUACCAGAUCUUGACAUCCAAUUGACCAUUCUUUUAAUCGAGAUUUUGCCUUCGGGUACAAUUGAGACAGGUGGUGCAUGGUUGUCGUCAGCUCGUGCCGUGAGAUGUUGGGUUAAGUCCCGCAACGAGCGCAACCUUGUGUUUAGUUGCAAACAGGUCAAGCUGUGCACUCUAGACAGACUGCCGUGGACAACACGGAGGAAGGUGGGGAUGACGUCAAAUCAUCAUGCCCCUUAUGAUCUGGGCUACACACGUGCUACAAUGGCCGGUACAACGGGCAGCGAAGGAGCGAUCCGGAGCGAAUCCUAAAAAGCCGGUCCCAGUUCGGAUUGCAGGCUGAAACUCGCCUACAUGAAGUUGGAGUUGCUAGUAAUCGCGAAUCAGAAUGUCGCGGUGAAUGCGUUCCCGGGUCUU